This 72-nucleotide transfer RNA is filed under the name Fukomys damarensis (Damara mole-rat). It matches the Rfam family "tRNA". From Rfam's summary of the family: Transfer RNA (tRNA) molecules are approximately 80 nucleotides in length. Their secondary structure includes four short double-helical elements and three loops (D, anti-codon, and T loops). Further hydrogen bonds mediate the characteristic L-shaped molecular structure. tRNAs have two regions of fundamental functional importance: the anti-codon, which is responsible for specific mRNA codon recognition, and the 3' end, to which the tRNAs corresponding amino acid is attached (by aminoacyl-tRNA synthetases). tRNAs cope with the degeneracy of the genetic code in two manners: having more than one tRNA (with a specific anti-codon) for a particular amino acid; and 'wobble' base-pairing, i.e. permitting non-standard base-pairing at the 3rd anti-codon position. The record is from Rfam by way of RNAcentral. Lineage: Eukaryota; Metazoa; Chordata; Mammalia; Rodentia; Bathyergidae.
GGGGAUGUAGCUCAGCAGUACAGUGUCUGCCUGGCAAGCACAAUGUCCUAAGUUUGAUCCCUGGUACUUCCC